UGCCGGACCAUGUCCAAGUCCCUUGGAACAGGGUAUCAAAGAGGGUGACAAUCCCGUACUUGACAUGACCACCGGUGCUCUGUGAUACACUUUCUACGAGUCGAGUUGUUUGGGAAUGCAGCUCAAAAUGGGUGGUAAAUUCCAUCUAAAGCUAAAUAUUGGCGAGAGACCGAUAGCGAACAAGUACCGUGAGGGAAAGAUGAAAAGCACUUUGGAAAGAGAGUUAAACAGUACGUGAAAUUGUUGAAAGGGAAACGAUUGAAGUCAGUCGUGUUCUUUGGACUCAGCCGGUUCUUCCGGUCUAUUUCCUUUGAACGGGUCAACAUCAGUUUUGUCCGGUGGAUAAAGGCAGGAAGAAAGUGGCUCCCUCGGGAGUGUUAUAGCUUUCUGUCACAUACACUGGAGGAGACUGAGGACUGCAGCUCGCCUU
Molecule: ribosomal RNA, 430 nt
Filed under: Vanrija musci
Lineage: Eukaryota; Fungi; Basidiomycota; Tremellomycetes; Trichosporonales; Trichosporonaceae
Description: eukaryotic LSU rRNA
Rfam family: Eukaryotic large subunit ribosomal RNA
Source: RNAcentral